Molecule: ribosomal RNA, 562 nt
Filed under: uncultured Gammaproteobacteria bacterium
Lineage: Bacteria; Pseudomonadati; Pseudomonadota; Gammaproteobacteria
Description: bacterial SSU rRNA
Rfam family: Bacterial small subunit ribosomal RNA
Source: RNAcentral
CAGCAGUGGGGAAUAUUGGACAAUGGGGGAAACCCUGAUCCAGCCAUGCCGCGUGUGUGAAGAAGGCCUUUUGGUUGUAAAGCACUUUAAGCAGUGAAGAAGACUCUUCGGUUAAUACCCGGAGACGAUGACAUUAGCUGCAGAAUAAGCACCGGCUAACUCUGUGCCAGCAGCCGCGGUAAUACAGAGGGUGCAAGCGUUAAUCGGAAUUACUGGGCGUAAAGCGAGCGUAGGUGGCUUGAUAAGUCAGAUGUGAAAUCCCCGGGCUUAACCUGGGAACUGCAUCUGAAACUGUUAGGCUAGAGUAGGUGAGAGGGAAGUAGAAUUUCAGGUGUAGCGGUGAAAUGCGUAGAGAUCUGAAGGAAUACCGAUGGCGAAGGCAGCUUCCUGGCAUCAUACUGACACUGAGGCUCGAAAGCGUGGGUAGCAAACAGGAUUAGAUACCCUGGUAGUCCACGCCGUAAACGAUGUCUACUAGUCGUUGGGUCCCUUGAGGACUUAGUGACGCAGCUAACGCAAUAAGUAGACCGCCUGGGGAGUACGGCCGCAAGGUUAAAACUCA